UACAGAGGGUGCGAGCGUUAAUCGGAAUUACUGGGUGUAAAGGGCGCGUAGGCGGUGUUAUGUGUGUGAUGUGAAAGCCCCGGGCUUAACCUGGGAAGUGCAUCGCAAACUAUAAUACUGGAGUAGAUGAGAGGGUGGCGGAAUUUCCGGUGUAGCGGUGAAAUGCGUAGAGAUCGGAAGGAACGUCGGUGGCGAAGGCAGCCACCUGGCAUCAUACUGACGCUGAGGCGCGAAAGCGUGGGGAGCGAACAGG
Molecule: ribosomal RNA, 253 nt
Filed under: uncultured bacterium
Lineage: Bacteria
Description: partial 16S ribosomal RNA
Rfam family: Bacterial small subunit ribosomal RNA
Source: RNAcentral